Molecule: ribosomal RNA, 253 nt
Filed under: uncultured bacterium
Lineage: Bacteria
Description: partial 16S ribosomal RNA
Rfam family: Bacterial small subunit ribosomal RNA
Source: RNAcentral
UACGAAGGGGGCUAGCGUUGUUCGGAAUUACUGGGCGUAAAGCGCACGUAGGCGGAUACUUAAGUCAGGGGUGAAAUCCCGGGGCUCAACCCCGGAACUGCAUUUGAUACUGGGUAUCUCGAGUCCGGAAGAGGUGAGUGGAAUUCCGAGUGUAGAGGUGAAAUUCGUAGAUAUUCGGAGGAACACCAGUGGCGAAGGCGGCUCACUGGUCCGAUACUGACGCUGAGGCACGAAAGCGUGGGGAGCAAACAGG